RNAcentral lists this ribosomal RNA (425 nucleotides) under uncultured bacterium. Its description in RNAcentral is "partial 16S ribosomal RNA". It matches the Rfam family "Bacterial small subunit ribosomal RNA", at positions 354 to 796 of the family's 1533-position model. The record is from RNAcentral.
GUGGGGAAUAUUGGACAAUGGGCGAAAGCCUGAUCCAGCCAUGCCGCGUGAGUGAUGAAGGCCUUAGGGUUGUAAAGCUCUUUCAGUAGGGAAGAUAAUGACGGUACCUACAGAAGAAGCCCCGGCUAACUUCGUGCCAGCAGCCGCGGUAAUACGAAGGGGGCUAGCGUUGUUCGGAUUUACUGGGCGUAAAGCGCACGUAGGCGGAUUGGUCAGUUAGAGGUGAAAUCCUGGAGCUCAACUCCAGAACUGCCUUUAAUACUGCCAGUCUAGAGUCCAGAAGAGGUGAGUGGAACUCCGAGUGUAGAGGUGGAAUUCGUAGAUAUUAGGAAGAACACCAGUGGCGAAGGCGGCUCACUGGUCUGGUACUGACGCUGAGGUGCGAAAGCGUGGGGAGCAAACAGGAUUAGAUACCCUAGUAGUCC